This 481-nucleotide ribosomal RNA is filed under the name uncultured bacterium. Its description in RNAcentral is "bacterial SSU rRNA". It matches the Rfam family "Bacterial small subunit ribosomal RNA", at positions 353 to 830 of the family's 1533-position model. The record is from RNAcentral.
AGUGAGGAAUAUUGGUCAAUGGUCGCAAGACUGAACCAGCCAUGCCGCGUGCAGGAAGACGGUCCUAUGGAUUGUAAACUGCUUUUAUACAGGAAGAAACCCUCCCACGUGUGGGAGCUUGACGGUACUGUAGGAAUAAGGAUCGGCUAACUCCGUGCCAGCAGCCGCGGUAAUACGGAGGAUCCAAGCGUUAUCCGGAAUCAUUGGGUUUAAAGGGUCCGUAGGCGGUCUUAUAAGUCAGUGGUGAAAGCCCAUCGCUCAACGAUGGAACUGCCAUUGAUACUGUAAGACUUGAAUGUUUAGGAAGUAACUAGAAUAUGUAGUGUAGCGGUGAAAUGCUUAGAUAUUACAUGGAAUACCAAUUGCGAAGGCAGGUUACUACUAAGUGAUUGACGCUGAUGGACGAAAGCGUGGGGAGCGAACAGGAUUAGAUACCCUGGUAGUCCACGCCGUAAAACGAUGGAUACUAGCUGUUCGGAGC